RNAcentral lists this non-coding RNA (158 nucleotides) under Selaginella moellendorffii. RNAcentral describes it as "rRNA LSU_rRNA_eukarya". It matches the Rfam family "Eukaryotic large subunit ribosomal RNA", at positions 2825 to 2992 of the family's 3401-position model. Lineage: Eukaryota; Viridiplantae; Streptophyta; Lycopodiopsida; Selaginellales; Selaginellaceae. The record is from Rfam by way of RNAcentral.
GAUAAUUUGCUUGUGGCAGCCAAAGUGUUCAUAGUGGCAUUGCUUUUUGAUCUUUCAACAUCAACUCUUCCUAUCAUUGUGAAGCAAAAUUCAUGAGGUGCUAAAUUGUUCACCCACCAAUAGGGAAUAUGAGCUGUGCCGCAAUAGUAAUUUAACUU